RNAcentral lists this transfer RNA (86 nucleotides) under Candidatus Riflebacteria bacterium HGW-Riflebacteria-2. RNAcentral describes it as "tRNA-Ser". It matches the Rfam family "tRNA". From Rfam's summary of the family: Transfer RNA (tRNA) molecules are approximately 80 nucleotides in length. Their secondary structure includes four short double-helical elements and three loops (D, anti-codon, and T loops). The record is from RNAcentral. Lineage: Bacteria; Candidatus Rifleibacteriota.
GGAGAGAUGCUGGAGCGGUUGAACGGGGCGGUCUCGAAAACCGUUGUGGGUUAUGCCUACCGAGGAUUCGAAUCACUCUCUCUCCG